CCCCUCGCAGGGUUGCACCUGGAGAGUUUCCAGUACUCUACUGGUUUUGGCUAUGGGAGGGAGAGUCAAGCAGAGGAAUACCCAUUCCAUUCCUAGCUUGGGCCAUGGCUAGUGAGUGGAAGGCAAUCUGCUAAAAGU
This is a small nucleolar RNA of Ornithorhynchus anatinus (platypus), 138 nucleotides long. Lineage: Eukaryota; Metazoa; Chordata; Mammalia; Monotremata; Ornithorhynchidae. The record is from RefSeq and is a predicted model, not a curated record.